UGGGUUCUCAAAGAAACCAACUAACAAAUAUGGAUCCUACAAAUCCUUUCUCUCAAUUAUUGAGGCCACUCUCUCUUUCCUCUCUAAACCCUAAUCCCUUCAUCGUCGUCUUCAAUCUUCUGAUCAUCAUAGCUAUCAAAAAGUAAUUCCGAUUCAAUAGAUCUUGCCAAAAUCCCAUUCGCGAUUUCUGAUUCAAGCUAUCUUCUCUAAAUCAAGUUUGAUUAUUAAAGAUGUGGUCCCAAUGGACUGAUCUUCCGGUGUUUCGUGAUUUCACUACUAUGGCUGGAAGGUGUUUACGUUAUGUUGUUAGUACCAUUUUUACAAAGAAAAAAAGUCCAUGAUGUCAUAGCUGGCCUAAUAAACACCUACUUCCAAAUGUUACUACAUUUGAGUACAAGAUGCAAGGAUAUAAGUCUACUCCAGAUAUGGGAGUUACAUUGUUUGAAAUUGCAAGAAUAUUUGCUACUGAAGUCCCUGGAAAAAUUGAUGCUGGUGUGUUGCAAAUACUGUGGAAGGUAUGGAGACGGUGAGCCGAGCUACUAAGUUUAGUAAAUAGUUUACCCAGAUGUCGAGAGAAGCAAAGGAAAGAGUCUUCUAUGCUUCAGACAGUUAACAAGAAGCUAUCUGCUAUGAACAAGUUAUUAAUGGAGGAAAACGAUCGCCUGCAAAAAUAAGUGUCUCAAGUUGUGUGUGAAAACAUAUAUAUGCAACAACAAUUGCACACAAUAUGUUUAUAUGAUGUUGUUGACUCAUGGUUGCAGACAUUAAUUGCGUUAACUUUUGAGUAAGGGUAGGCUUAUCUUUCUCACUUGGCUUUUUGACUCAUUGAAUCACCAAACCGAGGUUUCGUGGGAUAAUAGUUUGUAUUCAUAUCUCAAUUUAAAAUUGGACAGGUAGUCAGGUACAUUGAGCUUUGUAUUGUUAAAUGACAUUUUCAUACUGAAUUUAUAUUCUGAAUUUCUAUUUAAUAUUGGGAAGAUUACAUCACAGGAUCCUAUAUAAACAAAAGUCUUCUAACUCUUGGAAUUGUGAGGCCUCAAUCAUUGCCAUUAUUUUUUCAGUGUAAUAGUUUGCUCUAUAAAUGUCUACUUUUGGUCAUAUUUAUGUUCAAAACUCCCCCUGCAAUAAAACACUACUAUUUGUAUGUGGUGAAAAAAGUAACAGGUAUCAUAAGUUUUCCUCAACAUUUCAUAUCAUUUAUACCUGAAACUCUUGGGCAACCAAUUUCUUAAUUUGUAUUGGAAUGACUGAACAUUUGUGUGGUAUAGUUGUAUGAGUAUAAUCUAUGAAAGACGCAUUUAUUGUUGUUUUUUUAUAUUGAUAGUUGUAUCUCUUUUAGAGUUUGCUAACUUGAAACUGGCAUAGAUUAUAUCAAAAUUGACAGACGUUCGAGCAGCUCAUAUACCAUACGCCGACUCAAAGCUGACUAGGAUUCUUCAAUCUUCAUUAAGCGGUCAUGGACGAGUUUCGUUAUUUGCACCGUGACUCCCUCAUCAAGCAAUUCCGAGGAGACACAUAAUACAUUAAAGUUUGCCCACCGUGCAAAACACAUUGAAAUUCAGGCCGCACAAAAUAGGGAGGAGCUAGAACAAUUAAAAAGUGGCAUUGUGGCAGUUCCUCAGUUGAAGGAUAAUGGAGGAGAUGACAUAGUUCUUCUUAAACAAAAGGUACCUAUAAUUCUUUGAUAAGGGAAAUACGCAAAUCCAUGGAUUGGUUAAACAAGCAACCUCUCUCAUUUCAACAUGCAAUUUUGAGUUCAGCAAUUGGGAGUUAUUUUUUGGGAUUUGCAUGAGGAAAUGGCGACAACGCGUGAGGUGUUUCCGACUGUUGACAGAGGGAAGUGUUGAAACUAGCAACCGAGUAAAAUCGAUUGUCAUAUUCGCCAAAAUUUAUGUCGCAUCGUGGUUGAUGUCUGAGCAUUCGGUUAAAGCUCCAAUUGCGCCAAACGUUGGGAUUGCUGUGAGGCAUGUGCGUCGCUCGCAUUCUGGAAAAAAAAGGUGUGUGUAGUUUUUAUAAUUAGGAAUACAUUUUUUUGGUAUUGAUGUUUUGCCUAAUGUUGAACAGUUAGGGAUUUUAUCAGGUUAAUCGUUUUGUGUUAUUCGCGUUUUUAGAUGUUUGAAAGUCUAACCAAAAGCUGACCCUAUUAACUAUCUUUAAUCAGUUUUCUGGUAAUGAGUUUGUUCAAGUAGGGUUUUUCGGGUAAGCAAGGUUAGACUUGGUUCAAAUGGGAUAAUUGUUAAAAGUAGUUUGUGUUCAUGUAUUAUUUUUUAGGGUUGUCUUGAAUAUCUUUAGGUGGUUUCAGUGGCGACUCUAUGUUAUAUGCUGUUAGUUUUUUUUAUCUUUGUUUGUUAAGUAUCCAAGACUAUGGAAUUUGCCAUUAACAGUUGUCACAAUUUGUUAUAUUUAUCGUUUUUAUUUAGAUACAUAUUUGGGGAUCGCUAUGCUAUGCUACAUAGGUUAUAACAUGAGGAAAUUUCAAUAGGUGCUACUUGUGUUUUCAAAUAGUCAACAAGAGAAAUAAGUUGCUAUAACACCUGCCAUGUUGAUUUUAUAUUCUUUUUGAAAUUUCCGAUGGGUGAUACUUGCCAUGAUUUUAUAAUCUGAGAUUUUUGAAUUUUUGGUUUUUUUUUCUACGUUGAUUUUAAAUUUAUAUGUGACACCAUCAAGAGCAUAAAACCAGAUAUGGAGUUAGAUUACGCAUGUUAGAUGAUGCCACGACUGAGUUUUGUUCCACUAAUGAGCAAUCCCCUUUUGAUCCUGGCUGAGUCCUACCUGGCUGGUGUAGAGAAAGCCCAUCAAGAUCCGAGGUAAAGAUUAUGGUAUAAAGGAUACGCAGAAAAAAACAUAUUCUUGAUGCUCUCUAUAGUGAUGGUAAAGCGGUUACAGCAGAGGAUCAAGAUGAUUGGGUUAAAGGGAAGUGAGACUUCUUUUGGGAUAAAUGCAAAGAGCUUGGGAUGGAUCCAGAUUUCUGUGUCGAUGAUGUAGGAGAGGAUGACGGUGGUAUGGCUCAGUAUUUCUCUCAUUGAGUCUGAUAAAUAUUUCGACCCAGUAGUUUCUAAACCCACCUCACAUAAAUAAUUUUAUGUCGACUUUAAAUUUAUUUACUAAGGUGAUGUGGUUCAAUUCUAUUGUUGUGGCGUUGUUUUCUUAUGGGUUGAAUCAGGUUUUAAAACUGUUGGGUGGUGAUUUUUUUGGGGGUCAGUUGUUCGAUGUCAUUGAGAUCCAUUUUGUCAACUUUUUGUUUGAAAUAGUGUCUUCAAAAUGAUUUGGGUUUUUUUUGGGUCACCUAUUAUUAGUUCUAUUUCGAAGAUCAAGGCAUCAGUUAUCAGUAGAAACAAGAAUUUGGGGAAUUUUGGUGCUGGUAUGUUGCUUUCUUGGGCCUUUUUUAUUAGUCUUUGGGAGGGGUUAUUCUCUCAAUUUAUUUUGGGUUGCGUUUACAUGGUUUUUCUGGCCCAAUCUGAUCUGACUAAAAUGUAUCUCAAGCCAAAGUUUUACAUUAAAGGCCCAAUCCGAAUAGGUUGAGGUGGGCCAGGUUAUUAACUCCCCUUUUUGCUGCUAUUAUGGAACCAUUAAAUGGCUUGGAGAUUUGUCUUUUGGGACUCUAUGCAUGUUGUUCAGCCCCAAUGAUGUAUGUCAGGAUCAGUAUUAUAUAUGAAUAACUUGCUAUGAUUACAUUACUAAAUUUAACUUUAAUUAGAAUAUAAAAUCUCUAUAAUUACUUUAAAAAUCUUUAUAAUUACAUUACUGACAAUUUAAAUGUGUUACUGUGUUGAUGGUCAAGUGUUUGAAACUUUAGUACCCUAUGUAAUAUGGAAUUUUUCUCAACAUAAUAAUUAUUAAUUAUUUGAUGAUAUCCUGAUUUAAUUCAUAUUGGAAUUGAGUUACUAUAGAGUAUUAAUUUUUGUCUACUCUUUCAAUAGGCGGUAUACAAAGAACAAGCAGCUCUUUGAUUGCUCAUACUUAUCCUAAGCAAACUGAGAGAAGCAUAGAGAAAUGCAAAAUUUCUUCCAUUUCGAAAUAUAAUAGUUAGUAAGUAAUCUAUGUAAUAUGUCAUUUUAUUUUUUUUAUAUACAUAAUGUAAAUUAGACUUAUUGAAAGAUGACCUCUUUAUUGUACUUGACACGAUUUUUGUGUCAAAGUUUGAUAAUAAAAUUUUUAUUUCACAA
Molecule: long non-coding RNA, 4166 nt
Organism: Helianthus annuus (common sunflower)
Lineage: Eukaryota; Viridiplantae; Streptophyta; Magnoliopsida; Asterales; Asteraceae
Exons: 10
Source: RefSeq, a predicted model, not a curated record